This 536-nucleotide ribosomal RNA is filed under the name Elattoneura centrafricana. RNAcentral's name for it is "partial 16S ribosomal RNA". It matches the Rfam family "Bacterial large subunit ribosomal RNA", at positions 1830 to 2619 of the family's 2925-position model. Lineage: Eukaryota; Metazoa; Arthropoda; Insecta; Odonata; Platycnemididae. The record is from RNAcentral.
GUCCUCUUGAUUUAAUUUGAGGUUUGACCUGCCCGGUGAGUUUUAGCUUUAACGGCCGCGGUAUUUUGACCGUGCAAAGGUAGCAUAAUCAUUAGUCUUUUAAUAGAGGGCUGGAAUGAAGGGUUUGACGAAUCAUUAACUGUCUCAUUUUUAUAGUUUAUAAUUUAAUUUUUAAGUUAAAAAGCUUAAAUAUUGUUGGAGGACGAGAAGACCCUAUAGAGCUUUAUAGAUUUCUUUUUUAUAAUAUUUUGUGUUUAAUAUAUUUUUAUUAAUUAGUUAUUUAUUUUGUUGGGGUGACAAAAACACAUAAUAAACUUUUUUAUUUAAUUUACAUUAAUUUAUGAAUUUUUGAUCCAAUACUUAUUGAUUAUUAGAUUAAGUUACCUUAGGGAUAACAGCGUAAUCUUUCUUAGGAGUUCUUAUUUGCAGAAAGGCUUGCGACCUCGAUGUUGGAUUAAGAUUAUAUUUUGGUGCAGUAGCUAAAACAAUAGGUCUGUUCGACCUUUAAAAUCUUACAUGAUCUGAGUUCAGACCGG